UUACCCACUCCCGGCACGGGGAGGUAGUGACGAAAAAUAACGAUACGGGACUCAUCCGAGGCCCCGUAAUCGGAAUGAGUACACUCUAAACCCUUUAACNNGGAUCAAUUGGAGGGCCAGUCUGGUGCCAGCAGCCGCGGUAAUUCCAGCUCCAAUAGCGUAUAUUAAAGUUGUUGCGGUUAAAAAGCUCGUAGUCGAAUUUGUGUCUCGUGCCGCUGGUUCAUCGUCCGCGGUGUUAACUGGCGAGUCGCGAGACNUCCUGCCGGUGGGCUUAGCUCGCAAGGGCGGCCCAACUCAAUCCUGCCGCGGUGCUCUUCAUUGAGUGUCGAGGUGGGCCGGCACGUUUACUUUGAACAAAUUAGAGUGCUUAAAGCAGGCUAAAACUUCGCCUGAAUACUGUGUGCAUGGAAUAAUGGAAUAGGACCUCGGUUCUAUUUUGUUNGUUUUCGGAACCCCGAGGUAAUGAUUAGUAGGAACGGAUGGGGGCAUUCGUAUUGGGACGUUAGAGGUGAAAUUCUUGGAUCGUCGCAAGANNNACAGAAGCGAAAGCAUUUGCCAAAAACGCUUUCAUUGAUCAAGAACGAAAGUUAAAGGUUCGAAGGCGAUCAGAUACCGCCCUAGUUUUAACUGUAAACUAUGCCAGCUAGCGAUCCGUCGACGUUCCUCCGAUGACUCGACGGGCAGCUUCCGGGAAACCAAAGCUUUUGGGUUCCGGGGGAAGUAUGGUUGCAAAGCUGAAACUUAAAGGAAUUGACGGAAGGGCACCACCAGGAGUGGAGCCUGCGGCUUAAUUUGACUCAACACGGGAAACCUCACCAGGCCCGGACACCGGAAGGAUUGACAGAUUGAGAGCUCUUUCUUGAUUCGGUGGGUGGUGGUGCAUGGCCGUUCUUAGUUGGUGGAGCGAUUUGUCUGGUUAAUUCCGAUAACGAACGAGACUCUAGCCUGCUAACUAGGCGUAUUUUGACAUCCUAAAGGCCCGCCGGCUUGGGG
This 993-nucleotide ribosomal RNA is filed under the name Otiorhynchus porcatus. RNAcentral's name for it is "SSU rRNA". It matches the Rfam family "Eukaryotic small subunit ribosomal RNA", at positions 441 to 1416 of the family's 1831-position model. Lineage: Eukaryota; Metazoa; Arthropoda; Insecta; Coleoptera; Curculionidae. The record is from RNAcentral.